Molecule: long non-coding RNA, 431 nt
Organism: Xiphias gladius (swordfish)
Lineage: Eukaryota; Metazoa; Chordata; Actinopteri; Istiophoriformes; Xiphiidae
Exons: 4
Source: RefSeq, a predicted model, not a curated record
CUUCAUUCGUUGUGACAAGCAUUCCAGCCUUCUCCUAGAGGUAGGAUCAUAGGAUGAUGAUCUGUGAUCCUUGAUGGCAUCAUUCUUCAGGAUCAGGUCCAGCAGAGGUGGACAAAAGCUUCUUCCACCUUCCACCAUUGUUUGGAAGACCAUACCAUGGCUAGUUCCACCUGCCUCUGACUCCGGCCCCAGCCUUCCCAGCUCACCUACCCAAGUCAGCCGCUCUGCCUCUUUCUGCUGCUGAUAGGUCCAGCAAGGACUGAGGACUGAGCUGUCACUCUGGUUGUCCUUAGGGCUUCUGUGGUCAAUAAAUCAUAAUACAGGCAUAAUGAAGACUGCAUCAUGAAAUGCAAUACAAUGACAAUUGAGGGAUUUACAGAUAAAUUUCCUUAUACCUGCUGUUUCAUAUCUGAUACAUACAUUUUUAACAC